GUGAUUAAUCAGAAGAUUAAUCAUCAUCAUGAAAGAUUAAUUAGCAGAAUUCGAGCGAAGUUGACGAGCUAUAGUGGGAGAUUUUCACUUUAUCACGAGGAAGUCAACAUGUUAAGAAAGAAGAGAAUAAAACCUGAGCAGGAUGCAAAAGAACACAUAUUGUCGGGCAAAGACAAAGCCUUCAUUGAGGGACGACAAAUCAACACAUUCAAAGGGAGAGGUGUGUUUGCACUUGAGCACAUUGAACCAUCCACCUUUGUUGUUGAAUACCGUGGGAUUCUCUCUCAAAGUAAACAUGUUAAAGAUGUUCAAGGCAACUACUUGUUUGACUUCACAUGGAAUGGAACACGUUAUUGAUGCAACAAAAGAGGACGG
Rhinichthys klamathensis goyatoka is the source of this 375-nucleotide long non-coding RNA. RefSeq lists it as uncharacterized. The record is from RefSeq and is a predicted model, not a curated record. The transcript has 4 exons. NCBI's taxonomy places the organism in Eukaryota, Metazoa, Chordata, Actinopteri, Cypriniformes, Leuciscidae.